AAGACCUUGCACUUUUGGAGCGGCCGAUGUCUGAUUAGCUAGUUGGUGGGGUAAUGGCCUACCAAAGCUUCGAUCAGUAGCUGGUCUGAGAGGACGGCCAGCCACACUGGGACUGAGACACGGCCCAGACUCCUACGGGAGGCAGCAGUGGGGAAUUUUGGACAAUGGGCGCAAGCCUGAUCCAGCCAUGCCGCGUGAGUGAAGAAGGCCUUCGGGUUGUAAAGCUCUUUCAGCCGGGAAGAAAAGGUUGCGACUAAUAAUCGCAAUUCAUGACGGUACCGAAAGAAGAAGCACCGGCUAACUACGUGCCAGCAGCCGCGGUAAUACGUAGGGUGCGAGCGUUAAUCGGAAUUACUGGGCGUAAAGGGUGCGCAGGCGGUUUUGUAAGUCAGAUGUGAAAUCCCCGAGCUUAACCUGGGAACU
Molecule: ribosomal RNA, 423 nt
Filed under: uncultured bacterium
Lineage: Bacteria
Description: bacterial SSU rRNA
Rfam family: Bacterial small subunit ribosomal RNA
Source: RNAcentral